RNAcentral lists this ribosomal RNA (497 nucleotides) under uncultured bacterium. RNAcentral describes it as "partial 16S ribosomal RNA". It matches the Rfam family "Bacterial small subunit ribosomal RNA", at positions 28 to 507 of the family's 1533-position model. The record is from RNAcentral.
GACGAACGCUGGCGGCGUGCCUAAUACAUGCAAGUUGAGCGAUGAAGAUUGUUGCUUGCACCAAUUUGAAGAGCAGCGAACGGGUGAGUAACGCGUGGGGAAUCUGCCUUUUAGCGGGGGACAACAUUUGGAAACGAAUGCUAAUACCGCAUAACACCUUUAAACAUAAGUUUUAAGUUUGAAAGCUUCAAUUUCUUCACUCAAAGAUGAUCCCGCGUUGUAUUAGCUAGUUGGUGAGGUAAAGGCUCACCAAGGCGAUGAUACAUAGCCGACCUGAGAGGGAGGAUGGCCAAAAUUGGACGGAGAAACGGGCCAAAAUGCCACGGGAGGGAGCAGGAGGGAAACUUUGGAAAUGGACGAAAGGCUGAACGAAGAAAGGCGCGGGAGGGAAGAAGGGUCUCGGAGCGUAAAACUCUGUUGGUAGAGAAGAAAGUGGGUGAGAGUGGAAAGCGCAUCAAGUGACGGUAACUACACAGAAAGGGACGGCUAACUACGUG